Molecule: ribosomal RNA, 401 nt
Filed under: uncultured bacterium
Lineage: Bacteria
Description: bacterial SSU rRNA
Rfam family: Bacterial small subunit ribosomal RNA
Source: RNAcentral
GAAUCUUCCACAAUGGGCGAAAGCCUGAUGGAGCAACGCCGCGUGCAGGAUGAAGGCCUUCGGGUUGUAAACUGCUUUUAUAAGUGAAGAAUAUGACGGUAACUUAUGAAUAAGCACCGGCUAACUACGUGCCAGCAGCCGCGGUCAUACGUAGGGUGCAAGCAUUAUCCGGAGUGACUGGGCGUAAAGAGUUGCGUAGGUGGUUUGUUAAGUAGAUAGUGAAAGCUGACGGCUCAACCGUACAGACUAUUAUCUAAACUGGCAAACUCGAGAAUGGUAGAGGUAACUGGAAUUUCUUGUGUAGGAGUGAAAUCCGUAGAUAUAAGAAGGAACACCAAUGGCGUAGGCAGGUUACUGGACCAUUUCUGACACUGAGGCACGAAAGCGUGGGGAGCGAACGG